Molecule: ribosomal RNA, 366 nt
Filed under: uncultured bacterium
Lineage: Bacteria
Description: bacterial SSU rRNA
Rfam family: Bacterial small subunit ribosomal RNA
Source: RNAcentral
AUUGAACGCUGGCGGCAUGCCUUACACAUGCAAGUCGAACGGCAGCACGGGGGCAACCCUGGUGGCGAGUGGCGAACGGGUGAGUAAUGCAUCGAACGUGCCCAGUAGUGGGGGAUAACUAGUCGAAAGAUUAGGCUAAUACCGCAUACGACCUAUGGGUGAAAGCGGGGGACCUUUACCGGCCUCGCGCUAUCGGAGCGGCCGAUGUCUGAUUAGCUAGUUGGCGGGGUAAAAGCCCACCAAGGCUACGAUCAGUAGCUGGUCUGAGAGGACGACCAGCCACACUGGGACUGAGACACGGCCCAGACUCCUACGGGAGGCAGCAGUGGGGAAUUUUGGACAAUGGGCGCAAGCCUGAUCCAGCCA